AACGAUAGCUAAUACCGCAUAGGAACAUUUACUGCAUGGUAGAUGUUUAAAGGUGCAAUGCAUCACUACCAGAUGGCCUGCGUUGUAUUAGCUAGUAGGUGAGGUAACGGCUCACCUAGGCGACGAUACAUAGCCGACCUGAGAGGGUGAUCGGCCACACUGGGACUGAGACACGGCCCAGACUCCUACGGGAGGCAGCAGUAGGGAUCUUCGGCAAUGGGGGGAACCCUGACCGAGCAACGCCGCGUGAGUGAAGAAGGUUUUCGGAUCGUAAAGCUCUGUUGUUAAGGAAGAACGAGUGUGAGAAUGGAAAGUUCAUACUGUGACGGUACUUAACCAGAAAGGGACGG
This 350-nucleotide ribosomal RNA is filed under the name Streptococcus intermedius. Its description in RNAcentral is "bacterial SSU rRNA". It matches the Rfam family "Bacterial small subunit ribosomal RNA", at positions 155 to 496 of the family's 1533-position model. The record is from RNAcentral. Lineage: Bacteria; Bacillati; Bacillota; Bacilli; Lactobacillales; Streptococcaceae.